Molecule: long non-coding RNA, 230 nt
Filed under: Trifolium pratense (red clover)
Lineage: Eukaryota; Viridiplantae; Streptophyta; Magnoliopsida; Fabales; Fabaceae
Description: long non-coding RNA (TPRA_LNC006739)
Source: RNAcentral
CUUCUUGAGAGAAAAGCCAUUUCUUCCUCAUCAUCUUGUUGAAGAUGAUUCUCUUCAUCACAUGUUAUUUCCCUUUUUAAGUUCUCUUCUACUUGUGAUUCUAGAGCAAUCAUUUUGUUCUUGGCUGGUUUCUUUUCUUGAAGUAUUGCUUCAUGAGCUUUUAAAGAUCCAAUGAAAUCUUCCAGAUCCAUUGUUUUGAGAUCUUUUGCUACAGUUAUUGCAGUUACUAU